This 465-nucleotide ribosomal RNA is filed under the name Vreelandella stevensii. RNAcentral describes it as "partial 16S ribosomal RNA". It matches the Rfam family "Bacterial small subunit ribosomal RNA", at positions 338 to 795 of the family's 1533-position model. Lineage: Bacteria; Pseudomonadati; Pseudomonadota; Gammaproteobacteria; Oceanospirillales; Halomonadaceae. The record is from RNAcentral.
CCUACGGGUGGCAGCAGUGGGGAAUAUUGGACAAUGGGGGGAACCCUGAUCCAGCCAUGCCGCGUGUGUGAAGAAGGCCCUCGGGUUGUAAAGCACUUUCAGUGAGGAAGAACGCCUGGUGGUUAAUACCCAUCAGGAAAGACAUCACUCACAGAAGAAGCACCGGCUAACUCCGUGCCAGCAGCCGCGGUAAUACGGAGGGUGCGAGCGUUAAUCGGAAUUACUGGGCGUAAAGCGCGCGUAGGUGGCUUGAUAAGCCGGUUGUGAAAGCCCCGGGCUCAACCUGGGAACGGCAUCCGGAACUGUCAAGCUAGCGGGCAGGAGAGGAAGGUAGCAUUCCCGGUGUGGCGGUGAACUGCGUAGAGAUCGGGAGGAAUACCAGUGGCGAAGGCGGCCUUCUGGACUGACACUGACACUGAGGUGCGAAAGCGUGGGUAGCAAACAGGAUCAGAUACCCCUGUAGGC